Molecule: long non-coding RNA, 536 nt
Organism: Ornithorhynchus anatinus (platypus)
Lineage: Eukaryota; Metazoa; Chordata; Mammalia; Monotremata; Ornithorhynchidae
Exons: 2
Source: RefSeq, a predicted model, not a curated record
AUGCUCUCACUCUCAAGGGCUCCACUUCUAUGCGGCCUCUGAAAGCACCCUUUUCAGAAGAGAAAAUCACGACCGGGGUUAUGAGUUGAGAAGAGGGAGGAGCCCUGACACCACCCUCACCCCACCCAGUUUCAGGAAACACCAGCAUUCACACAAACAGGUUCCCUAUUUUCCCAUAGGAUGGAGGGGCAAGGCAAAAUGACCAUGGAUCCCAGAAAAGGAGCAUCUAGUUGACAGAGCACCUGAACUCCCUCCCCUACCUGAGCACAGAGUCAGCAGAAAAGCCAGAGAAAAACUUCCUCAUCACUCACUGCUCCCUUCCCUGUCUUUGUGCAAUGGGAAGCAGACAGGCUUUCACCCAGCCCUUCACCUGCCAUUCGACGCAUUUCCACCCAACCCUUGGGGAUUGCAUCUGGUUUCUCAAGUCCUCGCUGCUCCUCCCUCCUCCAUCUCUCAUCCAGCCCACGAUCUCCCCUUUGUGGUCAAAGCAAAGAACAGAGUAAAUCCAGGUCAAUAAAGGAGAGUUUUUUCUUCAA